GAAAUGCGAUAAGUAGUGUGAAUUGCAGAAUUCAGUGAAUCAUCGAAUCUUUGAACGCACAUUGCGCCCCUGGGUAUUCCAUGGGGCAUGCCUGUUCGAGCGUCAUUUGUACCCUCAAGCUCUGCUUGGUGUUGGGUGUUUGUCCCCGUCUCCGCGCGUGGACUCGCCCCAAAGUGAUUGGCAGCCGGCGUACUGGUCCCGGAGCGCAGCACAUGUCGCGCAAACGAGUGCCUUGGUACGGCGGCGUCCAUAAGCCCCUCUCUCACGCUCUUGACCUCGGAUCAGGUAGGGAUACCCGCUGAACUUAAGC
RNAcentral lists this unclassified non-coding RNA (310 nucleotides) under plant metagenome. RNAcentral describes it as "partial contains 5.8S ribosomal RNA, internal transcribed spacer 2, and large subunit ribosomal RNA". The stretch from base 1 to 105 matches the Rfam family "5.8S ribosomal RNA", at positions 50 to 154 of the family's 154-position model. The record is from RNAcentral.